UUCCUCUCUUCUUUACUUAUAGCAUCCACAUAGUGUUUGCCUAUCAGUACACCCAGCUCCCCAGGUAGCAGCUAGUGGUAAAGAAUCUGCCUGCUAAUGGAGGAGACGCAAGAGACUCAGGUUCAAUCCCUGGGUGGGGAAGAUCCCCUGGAGAAGGCAAUGACAACCCACUCCAGUAUUCUUGCCUGAGAAAUCCCGUGGACAGAGGAGCCUCGUGGGCUACAUAGAGUCCCAAAGAAUGGGACACGACUGAGUGCAACCCCCACCCCGCCCUCCGCCGCGCGCGCGCAUGCGCACACGCUUACACACACACACACACACACACACACACACACACACACACACACACACAUCCAGCUUAGAAGAAAAUACUACAUUUCCCAGACACCCUUGCAGAAAGGAAUGGUCACAUGAUGGCAAUCUGCCCAAUGAGAUGCGAGUGUUGGUUUCAGGGCAGGGCUUCAGGGGAAUCUCUGGGCCCCAGAUCUAAGACUGCAGGACAGAAGACCUUCAGCCUUGGGGAGGCCUCCUCUCAACUUGUGAGCAGGCUGCGUGAACUGGAGCAGAGAUUGCCUUCCUGGAAGAAGCCACAGUGUUUUCUGAGGAGCUCAAGUUCACAAUCCACAGGUGAGUUGUUGUGCAUCAUUAUUUAUAUUCAAGUGCUUCCUUGGUGGCUCAAUGGUAAAGAAUCUG
This 693-nucleotide long non-coding RNA is filed under the name Bos indicus x Bos taurus (hybrid cattle). RNAcentral's name for it is "lncRNA (ENSBIXG00000002361.1)". Lineage: Eukaryota; Metazoa; Chordata; Mammalia; Artiodactyla; Bovidae. The record is from RNAcentral.